RNAcentral lists this ribosomal RNA (253 nucleotides) under uncultured bacterium. RNAcentral's name for it is "partial 16S ribosomal RNA". It matches the Rfam family "Bacterial small subunit ribosomal RNA", at positions 524 to 776 of the family's 1533-position model. The record is from RNAcentral.
UACGUAGGGGGCAAGCGUUGUCCGGAAUCAUUGGGCGUAAAGAGCGUGUAGGCGGCUCGAUAAGUCUGCUGUGAAAGUCCAGGGCUCAACCCUGGAAGGCCGGUGGAAACUGUCGGGCUAGAGUCCGGAAGAGGCGAGUGGAAUUCCCGGUGUAGCGGUGAAAUGCGCAGAUAUCGGGAAGAACACCCGUGGCUAAGGCGGCUCUCUAGUACGGUACUGACGCUGAGACGCGAAAGCGUGGGGAGCGAACAGG